This 21-nucleotide microRNA is filed under the name Populus trichocarpa (black cottonwood). Lineage: Eukaryota; Viridiplantae; Streptophyta; Magnoliopsida; Malpighiales; Salicaceae. The record is from RNAcentral. RNAcentral also lists the same sequence under 1 other name.
UCAGCCAAGGAUGACUUGCCG